This 556-nucleotide ribosomal RNA is filed under the name Pucciniomycotina sp. RP. RNAcentral's name for it is "LSU rRNA". It matches the Rfam family "Eukaryotic large subunit ribosomal RNA", at positions 90 to 621 of the family's 3401-position model. Lineage: Eukaryota; Fungi; Basidiomycota. The record is from RNAcentral.
CGAGUGAAGUGGGAAAAGCUCAACUUUGUAAUCUGGCUGUCUUUUGGCAGUCCGAGUUGUAGUCUAGAGAAACAACGUCCGCGCAGACCCUUAUAGAUUUCGGUUGGAAUGCCAAGUCAAAGAGGGUGAGAAUCCCGUAUUUGAUAAGGUGGUCUUGUGCAUUGUGAUGUGUUUUCAAAGAGUCGAGUUGUUUGGGAAUGCAGCUCAAAGUGGGUGGUAAAUUCCAUCUAAAGCUAAAUAUUGGCGAGAGACCGAUAGCGAACAAGUACCGUGAGGGAAAGAUGAAAAGCACUUUGGAAAGAGAAUGAAAUAGUACAUGAAAUUGCUGAAAGGGAAACGAUUGAAGUUAGACAUGCGCUUUGGGUAUUCAGCCUUGGCUUCGGUCUUGGUGCAUUUGCCCAAUUUUGCAGGCCAACAUCAGUUAUCUUUGCUGUAAAAGGGUUUAGGGAAUGUGGCUCUUUCGGGAGUGUUAUAGCCCUUUGCUGGAUGCAGAAUCGAUGACUGAGGAACGCAGUGCGCCUUUAUUGGCAAGGCUUUCGGGCUUCGAGCACUUAGG